This 221-nucleotide ribosomal RNA is filed under the name uncultured bacterium. RNAcentral describes it as "partial 16S ribosomal RNA". It matches the Rfam family "Bacterial small subunit ribosomal RNA", at positions 524 to 742 of the family's 1533-position model. The record is from RNAcentral.
UACGUAGGGUGCAAGCGUUGUCCGGAAUUAUUGGGCGUAAAGAGCUCGUAGGCGGUUUGUCGCGUCUGCUGUGAAAACCUAAGGCUCAACCUUGGGCUUGCAGUGGGUACGGGCAGACUAGAGUGCGGUAGGGGUGACUGGAAUUCCUGGUGUAGCGGUGGAAUGCGCAGAUAUCAGGAGGAACACCGAGUGGCGAAGGCAGGUCACUUGGGCCGCAACUG